UGGAUAUGGAGGCUGCCUCAGGAUGCUGUGGAGUCAAUUCUACGCUUCCCUAUAAUACCACAGGACAUCAUUGCAGCAAGUAAAGACCAGCCUUUCAGUUCAGCUAAUGUUGCAGCUCCAUAGGAGACCUCGGGAGUGACAGACUAACAGCUUCUUAGGAUUGCCAGUGAGAUGUCAGAUCGAAAGAGAGACUGGAAGCUUCUAGCCAAUAAUUUGGGUUUUCUAGAAAAAGAGAGCCAUGCCUUUGAAGGCAAACAUUCAGAGAUCAAUCAACAGAUAUUGGAGAUGUUGCAGACAUGGCAGAGAAAAGCAGGAUCGCUAACUGAAGCUUCUGUACUGCAGUCUGCGUUACAGGCCAGUGGAAAUACAGACAUAAGCAAUGAGGUCUUCCAGCUCAGCUUCUGAAAACACCACUGAUCUCCAGGAUCGGUUUGGGUUGACAGACAAAAUCCGCGAAUCAAUCUGCCAUUAGAGACUGAGAGAACUAUUGUGUCAGUUGGCCAACUAAAUGCAACUGAAGCAUCAUGGGAAAAUGCACACACUGCACAUGCUCAGAUGUGCCUUCAUGUGCCCUCGGCUUUUGGAGAGUUUAAGCCU
Carcharodon carcharias (great white shark) is the source of this 597-nucleotide long non-coding RNA. RefSeq lists it as uncharacterized. The transcript is spliced from 3 exons. The record is from RefSeq and is a predicted model, not a curated record. Lineage: Eukaryota; Metazoa; Chordata; Chondrichthyes; Lamniformes; Lamnidae.